GGAAGAGUAUCCUCCUUACCAUCAGUCUAACAGGAUACAAGUGUCCAUGUUCACUAUGAGUCCUGGGAGACGCCACAGACUGGCUGCAGUGUGCCUGGCGCUUCUUGCUGCUGUUCUUCUGAUACUGAGUAUUGGCCUGGGGAUCCACUGUAAGUCAUUAUGAGUUACAGGAGUGCACAGAAAUGUUUUCAUUAUUAAAUCAUUUCUUUUUUGCAAAUGGUUAUCAAACUUUGCCAAUAGUCCAAAAACAAAAACAAGCAAACAAACAAAAAAACUCUAAACUGUAAAAAAAA
Molecule: long non-coding RNA, 293 nt
Organism: Oreochromis aureus
Lineage: Eukaryota; Metazoa; Chordata; Actinopteri; Cichliformes; Cichlidae
Exons: 2
Source: RefSeq, a predicted model, not a curated record